RNAcentral lists this ribosomal RNA (372 nucleotides) under uncultured bacterium. RNAcentral describes it as "bacterial SSU rRNA". It matches the Rfam family "Bacterial small subunit ribosomal RNA", at positions 524 to 896 of the family's 1533-position model. The record is from RNAcentral.
UACGAACUGUGCGAACGUUAUUCGGAAUCACUGGGCUUAAAGGGUGCGUAGGUGGUUUGCUAAGUCAGGUGUGAAAGCCCCCGGCUCAACCGGGGAACAGCGCUUGAAACUCGCAGACUGGAGUGAGGUAGGGGUGUACGGAACUUCCAGUGGAGCGGUGAAAUGUGUAGAUAUUGGAAGGAACGCCGGCGGCGAAAGCGGUACACUGGGCCUUGUCUGACACUGAGGCACGAAAGCUAGGGGAGUGAACGGGAUUAGAUACCCCGGUAAUCCUAGCCGUAAACACUGAGCACUGGAGGGGGGUGGCUUCGGCCUUCCCCCUCGUAGCGAAAGCGUUAAGUGCUCCGCCUGGGGAGUAUGGUCGCAAGGCUG